UUCCUUUAUGGCCUAAGCCUAUAUCACCUAUCUCUAUAAGGUGUGACAGUGCAGCAACAUUGGCUAAAGUAUAUAGCCAAGUUUACAAUGGGAAGUCUAGACAUUUAGGUGUCAGACAUAGCAUGGUUAGGGAGCUGAUCACUCAUGGGGUCAUUUCAGUUGAAUUUGUUGGGACACAACAAAAUCUGGCAGACCAUCUAACCAAAGGCUUGGCUAAAGAUUUAGUUAUCAAAUCUGCUAAAGGGGUGGGGCUCAAGUCCAUCUAAUCUUAUCUGUUUGGGAUACCCAAUUUCCUUCUAAUUUGAUAUUAGAUGUGAAAUUCAAUGUGGAAAGCCUAAAUAUGUGAGAUAGACACAUGUUCAAACCAUCCAAGAACAAGAUGAAAAGCUACCUAUACAAACAUGGAAUCCAAGUUGUUCCAAUAAAGCUCUGGACUUAGCUUUAUAAAUGUUUGUUGAAGGAUAUGGACACUAGACUUGUUAUAAAGGUGUCAGGUUUAGAUUAAUUGUUUGAUAAUUAUGUGUAUAUUAAGACUGAUAUUCAAAGGAAUUGUAAGAGUUCAAGUCUUAGACCACUCUUAUAAUUAGAAUGUUUGUACAUUGAUAUACUAAAAUGGAAAUUCAAUCCUUGUGAUAUUUUCAUUUAUGCAUAAUUUUUGUUUUCUGUUCUUUUGAUUUGAUCAUGCUUAUAAAUCCACUAAAAUAGGGGAGGAAUGUUGGAAUUUUAGUGUAUUAGCACUUUAAUUCUAAGGAAGAAUGUUGGAAUUUUAGUGUUUAUCACUUUAAUUUCUAAACAAUUCGGCUGCUUCAUUAGAAGCUUGUUCUAUCUUAUUUUAGUGUUUGA
This is an RNA transcript of Salvia hispanica, 843 nucleotides long. It is a transcript of the gene named secreted RxLR effector protein 161 pseudogene, with no coding region annotated. The record is from RefSeq and is a predicted model, not a curated record. NCBI's taxonomy places the organism in Eukaryota, Viridiplantae, Streptophyta, Magnoliopsida, Lamiales, Lamiaceae.